RNAcentral lists this long non-coding RNA (1176 nucleotides) under Pogona vitticeps (central bearded dragon). RNAcentral's name for it is "lncRNA (ENSPVIG00000024820.1)". The record is from RNAcentral. Lineage: Eukaryota; Metazoa; Chordata; Lepidosauria; Squamata; Agamidae.
AUGAGCAACCUAAACAAUGGGAAGAUGGAAGGUGAUGCUUCUGUUGGUCAGGAUCCUCCUCCCUAUUCUGAAAAGCUGCUCAGCGGAGAACCAGAUCAACGGGCACUACCUGCUGGGCUAAGCAGUCCCAUGGGCUAUGCGGCACCUCUACCUGUCCCACAACAGUACCAACUUUAUUACGGUCCACCUGCUGUAGGAUUGAGCCAAGCCACAGUCCUUCAGCCUCCACAGACCAUCAUCAUCACGACUAUCGACCCUAUGGAAGAGCCAGAUUACAUGGGUUUCUCCAUCUUCACCAUGCUUUGCUGUUUCUUACCCCUUGGAAUUGCUGCCUUUGUAUAUUCCAUAAAGACCAGAGAUGCCAACCGUGCGAGAGAUGGAACAAAUGCUCGCCAGUACUCCAGGCUUGCACGCAUUCUGAGUUAUACAGCAUUUGGGGUGGGGACUGGGAUUACAGUUGUGUGCAUCAUCCUAAAAAUUGUACUUGCUGCCUCUAUGCGGAACUACCACUAUUAAUUGUAUAACCCUUAGUGAGAGUGCAGGAUGAAGCCUUUUAUUACUCUGAGAGAAUUAACUUUGACACACAAGCUGGAGACGUCUUGCAAUCAUUCUUUUCCAAUUAUUUCAUAAAGGGAUGCAAAGCAAGCUGGGUCACAUGUCCAUGCCCAUCACAUGAUUUCCAUACCCUUGACUUGAUUACCAGAAUUCCUAAGCAUUGCACUUAUAGAACAAUGCAGUGUUCUGAAAAUUAUGCCUUGUGAGUCAGUUUGCACACAGAUUGAAAAAGCUGCUGAAUUUCAAAGCCAGGAUGCCUGGAGACCAUGUUGGUUGAUAGAUUCUAAAACGUCUAAUCCCAAAAGGCAACUUUGCCAAGUUUUCAGUUUACAAUAGAACCUUCUUCAUCAAGCAAUUGCUGGAAUCCUGUUGUGCAGUUACACGAAUGGCACAACUUUUAGUGGCAAAAUGAUAUAUGAAAUCACUAUAGAACAUGACUCAUUAGGCAACAAACAAUGUCCAUGGAGAUGUCUUAAUUUCUGACACUAUGCCAGUUACCGGUGCAUUAUUUGUGUAACUCCACAACAGGAUUUCAACCAGCGAGUGUCAUGUGCAAUCCAACUUUAUGAUGAUCCCAAACCCAGACAAUAAAAUGAGGAUCUGCAUAUUGCCUGUGAGUCA